GCCUUGGCAGUUAGCUCCUUGUGCUUCCUUUUGGCCAGCCAUGUGGGCAGAUUGCAGCCUGGCCCUGGCGGGGGUGGGGUGUGAUGGGGGCAGGAACUGCAGGGCUCCCCAUUGCCCCGCCCCCUCUGCUGCUGUUUUCUGGCUCCUCUGCAGGGGAGGUGUGGCCACAAGGCAAUGUCCAGAGUGCUCCUGGGCACCCUGCUUAGGAAGCUGAGAUUUGAUAACCUACAGAGAAGAAUCCAGCUGACGAGGCCAGCUGCUCCCACACCUGCGUGACAUAGUGAGGCUACGAUAAGGGUCUGUCUAAAGGGUCUGUCUGGCCUCAGACAGAGGGCCUGGAAGCACUGGAAAGAAGUUGCAGAGAUGCAGAUUUUGAAAAUUUCCUACAUAUUAGACCUGGUCAAAAGCGGAAUGGGAAUCCAUGAGAGCAAACAGCUGAGAUGUCGGUGCGCAGGGUUAAACAUACAGAGAUGAAGAAUGACAUGUUUUCCACCUUCAAGUGGUUUAACUGAAUGUGGGGAAGUGACAGGGGAGGACAAGGCCUGGACCCAGAGAAGCCUGUUACAUUGGAGGCAAAUUGAACUGUGGGGUAAGGACAUUGUGAGAAGGCAUUGGAAGGCCUUUCUGCUGCAGCUGUGGGCACAAGAAUCCUUAUAAAACUGAGUUACCAGAACAGCCCAGAGAUCUGCCCAUGCCCACCCAGCCCACCCAGCUUCGACCUCGGCCCUGUGCAGGUAUGGGCACAAGGCUGGAGAGCAAUGGGAGACAAACCUUUCCAUGAGAAGACACUCUUCCUGUUGAGUUUGAAGGGAAUUUAGUAUGAACAAGCCAUUCUUUGCCACCCCCCCCAUUAUUUCUUAUAAUGUGAUUGAUUUGAAAAAUAAAACUGUAAUGUCAAAAAAGAAGGGGAAAGAAAAGGGGGGGACCUGAGGUUCAAUCCAGGUGUUACUUCCUUUAAAAAACAUUAUGGAUAUCCUUUGUUUUCCACAUCACCUUCUUUUCUAAUCCCUGUCCUAUUCUGUCUCUUCCUGUCCCCCUACCUGGUGAGCCAUCCCCAGGAAUUGCUGAAGCAAAUAAAGUGAGCCCCUCAACUUUGCGUUUCAUGAUCAGAUCUAUUAGAAACAGUGUCAUCAUUUAUUCUACAAGGGAGGUGUUGGAGAUAGUUGCCUGAUCAAGGGAUCCCUCCCUAUUGACCACAUAUCGCAAGGAAGGCUGGGUCUUCUGUGUUCUGGUGGAAAUGUGUGCAGAAAAAUUUUAGAAAUGACCAAAUCGUACAAUGUUUCCAUUAAAGUUACAAGCUGAGAACAGCAUGUUUAACUAACAGAAAAGGAAAACAGGAAAAAGAUACAGUUUGUGGUAUUAGAUUGGGAUAGUAUCAUUU
Molecule: long non-coding RNA, 1381 nt
Organism: Vombatus ursinus (common wombat)
Lineage: Eukaryota; Metazoa; Chordata; Mammalia; Diprotodontia; Vombatidae
Exons: 3
Source: RefSeq, a predicted model, not a curated record